CCCACCACUUCCCAAAAAAUUCUAAUUUCCCUCUCUUUCUCUUGUGUAUCCAACCUAAAACAUGUUCAUUUUUAGUUUUCCCCCUAUUUUCCUUUAACCCUAAAUGGAUUCCCCUCCCAAAAUUCAUACCCAGAUCUCGUACUAAUACCCCUCUUCUGUUUUUGUUUAACAAGCUUCUUGUUUUGGCAUUACGAUAAAGAGAGAAAGAAACCAGACACGAAGCAUCUCCUUUGAAUCCAUCUAAUCUCUCCUCUGAUUAAUAUUCGUGAAAACUAUGACAUUCGUCCUGAAGUUCAUGUCAUCAUGGAAGUUGAAGAAGAAAUCAUGGAAGUUGAAGAAGAAAGCGAUUUCUCGGAUAGGGAUUUGA
This 367-nucleotide long non-coding RNA is filed under the name Helianthus annuus (common sunflower). RNAcentral's name for it is "sRNA HanXRQr2_Chr04g0170811". The record is from RNAcentral. Lineage: Eukaryota; Viridiplantae; Streptophyta; Magnoliopsida; Asterales; Asteraceae.